Molecule: ribosomal RNA, 492 nt
Filed under: uncultured bacterium
Lineage: Bacteria
Description: partial 16S ribosomal RNA
Rfam family: Bacterial small subunit ribosomal RNA
Source: RNAcentral
AGUGAACGCUGGCGGUAGGCCUAACACAUGCAAGUCGAACGGCAGCACAGUAAGAGCUUGCUCUUACGGGUGGCGAGUGGCGGACGGGUGAGGAAUACAUCGGAAUCUACUUUUUCGUGGGGGAUAACGUAGGGAAACUUACGCUAAUACCGCAUACGCCCUACGGGUGAAAGCAGGGGAUCUUCGGACCUUGCGCGAUUGAAUGAGCCGAUGUCGGAUUAGCUAGUUGGCGGGGUAAAGGCCCACCAAGGCGACGAUCCGUAGCUGGUCUGAGAGGAUGAUCAGCCACCCUGGAACUGAGACACGGUCCAGACGCCUACGGGAGGCAGCAGUGGGGAAUAUUGGACAAUGGGCGCAAGCCUGAUCCAGCCAUACCGCGUGGGUGAAGAAGGCCUUCGGGUUGUAAAGCCCUUUUGUGGGGAAAGAAAAGCAGCAGGUUAAGACCCCGCUGUUCUGACGGUACCCAAAGAAUAAGCACCGGCUAACUUCGUG